RNAcentral lists this ribosomal RNA (557 nucleotides) under uncultured bacterium. RNAcentral's name for it is "partial 16S ribosomal RNA". It matches the Rfam family "Bacterial small subunit ribosomal RNA", at positions 355 to 906 of the family's 1533-position model. The record is from RNAcentral.
UGGGGAAUUUUGGACAAUGGGCGAAAGCCUGAUCCAGCAAUGCCGCGUGUGUGAAGAAGGCCUUCGGGUUGUAAAGCACUUUUGUCCGGAAAGAAAUCCUUGGCUCUAAUACAGUCGGGGGAUGACGGUACCGGAAGAAUAAGCACCGGCUAACUACGUGCCAGCAGCCGCGGUAAUACGUAGGGUGCAAGCGUUAAUCGGAAUUACUGGGCGUAAAGCGUGCGCAGGCGGUUUGCUAAGACCGAUGUGAAAUCCCCGGGCUCAACCUGGGAACUGCAUUGGUGACUGGCAGGCUAGAGUAUGGCAGAGGGGGGUAGAAUUCCACGUGUAGCAGUGAAAUGCGUAGAGAUGUGGAGGAAUACCGAUGGCGAAGGCAGCCCCCUGGGCAAUACUGACGCUCAUGCACGAAAGCGUGGGGAGCAAACAGGAUUAGAUACCCUGGUAGUCCACGCCCUAAACGAUGUCAACUAGUUGUUGGGGAUUCAUUUCCUUAGUAACGUAGCUAACGCGUGAAGUUGACCGCCUGGGGAGUACGGUCGCAAGAUUAAAACUCAAAU